GACGAACGCUGGCGGCGUGCCUAAUACAUGCAAGUAGAACGCUGAAGAGAGGAGCUUGCUCUUCUUGGAUGAGUUGCGAACGGGUGAGUAACGCGUAGGUAACCUGCCUUGUAGCGGGGGAUAACUAUUGGAAACGAUAGCUAAUACCGCAUAACAAUGGAUGACACAUGUCAUUUAUUUGAAAGGGGCAAUUGCUCCACUACAAGAUGGACCUGCGUUGUAUUAGCUAGUAGGUGAGGUAAUGGCUCACCUAGGCGACGAUACAUAGCCGACCUGAGAGGGUGAUCGGCCACACUGGGACUGAGACACGGCCCAGACUCCUACGGGAGGCAGCAGUAGGGAAUCUUCGGCAAUGGGGGCAACCCCGACCGAGCAACGCCGCGUGAGUGAAGAAGGUUUUCGGAUCGUAAAGCUCUGUUGUAAGUCAAGAACGGGUGUGAGAGUGGAAAGUUCACACUGUGACGGUAGCUUACCAGAAAGGGACGGCUAACUACGUG
This 497-nucleotide ribosomal RNA is filed under the name uncultured bacterium. RNAcentral describes it as "partial 16S ribosomal RNA". It matches the Rfam family "Bacterial small subunit ribosomal RNA", at positions 28 to 507 of the family's 1533-position model. The record is from RNAcentral.